UCCUAGGCAUUCACCAUAGACUCUUAUUACUUUGACCAUAUUUUUAUCUUCCAUCUCUAUUUUGCCAAUUUGUUUAUACAACAUAGAAUAAUAUAUAUCUUUGUUUAAUCCAUGUCAAUAUAUAUUUUAUUUUUUAUAUUAUUUGAAUAAAACAUUCAAAAACAUGAACAUCUAAAAACAUAAAAAAUAAAAUCAAUGUUUAAAGUAUAAAACAAAAACCCUGGCAACAACUUACUCUCCCGCUAACUCGCAGA
This 254-nucleotide unclassified non-coding RNA is filed under the name uncultured Borreliella sp. RNAcentral's name for it is "partial 5S-23S ribosomal RNA intergenic spacer". The record is from RNAcentral. Lineage: Bacteria; Pseudomonadati; Spirochaetota; Spirochaetia; Spirochaetales; Borreliaceae.